RNAcentral lists this ribosomal RNA (984 nucleotides) under Tetraclita kuroshioensis. RNAcentral's name for it is "SSU rRNA". It matches the Rfam family "Eukaryotic small subunit ribosomal RNA", at positions 454 to 1396 of the family's 1831-position model. Lineage: Eukaryota; Metazoa; Arthropoda; Thecostraca; Balanomorpha; Tetraclitidae. The record is from RNAcentral.
GUUCAGGGAGGUAGUGACAAUAAAUACCUUACAGAGGUCUCGUUAACCGAGAUCUCUCAAACGGAAUGAGUACAACGUGAAUCCUUUAACGAGGAUCGACUGGAGGGCAAGCCUGGUGCCAGCAGCCGCGGUAAUUCCAGCUCCAGUAGCGUAUAUUAAAGCUGUUGCGGUUAAAAAGCUCGUAGUUGGAUAUCAGUGCGUGUCCGGUCCGGUAUGCCUGGCGGCGUCGCUCGCGCGGCACUGCUGGGCUCCCAAAUAUCGGCUGGCCGCAUUCAAUCGUGCCGGAUCCGUCGACGGGCCGUUCUUCGGAGGGGCCUGUUGGCGACCGGCGACGUUACCUUGAACAAAUUAGAGUGCUCAAAGCAGGCUCUGAAUGCCUGUAUACAUAUUCAUGGAAUUGGAGAAUACGUCCCUGGCUCGAUUUGGUUGGUUUUGAGAGUCGAAGGGAAAUGAUUAAUAGGGACUGACGGAGGCAUUCGUAUUGCGACGCGAGGGGUGAAAUCCUGUGACCGUCGCACGACGAACUACUGCGAAAGCAUUUGCCGAGAAUGUUUUCAUUAGUCAAGAACGAAAGUUAGAGGUUCGAAGGCGAUCAGAUACCGCCCUAGUUCUAACCGUAAACGAUGUCGACCAGCAAUCCGCAACGGUCACUACACGGACUGUGCGGGCAGCUUCCCCGGGGAAACCAGAGUUUUUGGACUCCGGGGGAAGUAUGGUUGCAAAGCUGAAACUUAAAGGAAUUGACGGAAGGGCACCACCAGGAGUGGAGCUUGCGGCUUAAUUUGACUCAACACGGGACAACUCACCAGGCCCGGACACCGUAAGGAUUGACAGACUGAUAGCUCUCUCUUGAUUCAGUGGGUGGUGGUGCAUGGCCGUUCUUAGUUGGUGGAGUGAUUUGUCUGGUUUAUUCCGAUAACGAACGAGACUCUGGCCUAUUAAACUUGACACUGUCAGUCUCUUGUGACUGCGGUGCGCUUCUUA